This 83-nucleotide transfer RNA is filed under the name Colletotrichum higginsianum. Its description in RNAcentral is "tRNA CH063_16384". It matches the Rfam family "tRNA". Rfam says of the family: Transfer RNA (tRNA) molecules are approximately 80 nucleotides in length. RNAcentral also lists the same sequence under 3 other names. Lineage: Eukaryota; Fungi; Ascomycota; Sordariomycetes; Glomerellales; Glomerellaceae. The record is from Rfam by way of RNAcentral.
GGCCGGUUGGCCCAAUGGCAAGGCGUCUGACUACGAUUCGUCGUGUAAUCAGGAGAUUCUGGGUUCGACCCCCAGGCUGGUCA